UAACACGUAUGCAACCUACCUGUAAGAGGGGAAUAACCCGGAGAAAUUCGGACUAAUACCGCAUAAUACUGCAAAGCUGCAUGGCUUUGUAGUUAAACAUUUAUGGCUUACAGAUGGGCAUGCGUAUGAUUAGAUAGUUGGUGAGGUAACGGCUCACCAAGUCAACGAUCAUUAGGGGUUCUGAGAGGAAGGUCCCCCACACUGGUACUGAGAUACGGACCAG
RNAcentral lists this ribosomal RNA (223 nucleotides) under uncultured bacterium. RNAcentral describes it as "partial 16S ribosomal RNA". It matches the Rfam family "Bacterial small subunit ribosomal RNA", at positions 111 to 334 of the family's 1533-position model. The record is from RNAcentral.